RNAcentral lists this ribosomal RNA (478 nucleotides) under uncultured bacterium. Its description in RNAcentral is "partial 16S ribosomal RNA". It matches the Rfam family "Bacterial small subunit ribosomal RNA", at positions 28 to 507 of the family's 1533-position model. The record is from RNAcentral.
GAUGAACGCUGGCGGCGUGCUUAACACGUGCAAGUCGAACGGGAAACCUUUUAAUGAAGCUUCGGCAGAUUUAGCUGGUUUCUAGUGGCGGACGGGUGAGUAACGCGUGGGUAACCUGCCUUAUACAGGGGGAUAACAGUCAGAAAUGACUGCUAAUACCGCAUAAGCGCACAGGACCGCAUGGUCCGGUGUGAAAAACUCCGGUGGUAUAAGAUGGACCCGCGUUGGAUUAGCUUGUUGGUGGGGUAACGGCUCACCAAGGCGACGAUCCAUAGCCGGCCUGAGAGGGUGAACGGCCACAUUGGGACUGAGACACGGCCCAGACUCCUACGGGAGGCAGCAGUGGGGAAUAUUGCACAAUGGGGGAAACCCUGAUGCAGCGACGCCGCGUGAAGGAAGAAGUAUCUCGGUAUGUAAACUUCUAUCAGCAGGGAAGAUAGUGACGGUACCUGACUAAGAAGCCCCGGCUAACUACGUG